This is a long non-coding RNA of Heterocephalus glaber (naked mole-rat), 1593 nucleotides long. The record is from Ensembl. NCBI's taxonomy places the organism in Eukaryota, Metazoa, Chordata, Mammalia, Rodentia, Bathyergidae.
GCCGUGUUGGCGUCAGGCACUGCGGCAGCCGCGGCGUUCAGGGACUCGGCGCCGCAGAGGAGUAAUAAAAGAGACUUUGAAAAUGUAGAACUAGGAGUCACAGGAAAAAAGAAGAAAGUCCUAAGGAGAGUCAUCCACUUUGUUAGUGGCGAAACAACGGAAGAAUACAGCACAGAUGAAGAUGAAGUUGAGGGCCUAGAAAAGAAAGAUGUUUUGCCUACUAUUGAUCCUCUGGGAGUGGAAUUGCUGGUUCAUAUGAUAACUUUAAACAUGCCAGAUUGUUUUCCAAAGUAGCUAUACCAUUUUACAUUCCUGCCGGCAGUGUUGUGUGACUUUCUUGGAGGGAAGAUUGCAUCUGUUUUGGGCAUCAGCACCCCCAAAAUACCAAUAAGCCAUUGAUGAGUAUUACCGGAUGAAGAAGGAGAGUUUGGAUCUUCGAUUUUUAAACCAGAUGUGGACCACCAGCUCCAAAACGCCGAUCUCCUUGGCAAACCGUUCUCUGGCAUCCGGUUUCGGACAGGGGUCUCAGAAACGCCUGGGCCAGGGCCUUCAAUUGAGAGGCGCUGAAGCUGGUGAGGCCGCCUGACUUCCACACUUCUCUGGUGCAACCUAUUUGAGGUCCCAUCUUUGGACAAUCAUAUGGAGGUUCUGCAGGUUUGGAGGUUCAACAUGUGAACAGAAGAGGAGGACACAAUUUAGCUCCCCUAGAAUAGGACCAACAUUAGGCCAUGGCCCAGAAUAAAGAUCAACCCUGUGCAGGUUGUGCAGAAGAUAUCUGUCCACAGUUUAUGUGGCUUCACCCAUCUGUAGGAUCCCUGGAAGCCCACCUGUAUGGAAGCUCAAGGGCCCCACAUGCUCCAGCUUUCAGGAGGAUUUAGCAAAUGUGAAGCACCAGAAGGAGCUCGGGACUAUGAAAGGAAAGGAAAACCGAGCUAGGGAUCCACCUAGAUACCUCAGCCCAGCUGCAUCCUUCUGCUGAAGGCCACAGCGACCUGCGGAAGCCCUCUGCACGUGGUGGCCAACUGCAUUCCAGUAACUGCUACUUCUCUCUGCUCCUUCAACCUUUAGUGGCUGGUGACUGCCUGCUGGUAUUAAGCCCAGGAUAAUCUCAUCCCUCUUAACCCCAGGAUAACCUCAUCCCUUUUACCUUUACCAAACUCCACCCACACCUUGUAAAGAGACUAGUCGUUAAACUCUCCCAAAUUACCCCACUGGAUGUGUCAUCAGCUUCCUGUCAGGCUUCUUAUACCACUAUAACAGCUUACUCGGUCCUUUGUGGUCUACUCCUUGCGAAACUCUCCACCCUCAUCUAAUACUUCUCAGUCUCAGCUACAGCCAUGCUAGCCUGCUGCCAACUCUGUAGAUAGGCCCACCAAUAUAAAAUACUAACCAGCAUGCAGUCCUGUUGUCUUUAAACUAUUUUAAAUGAUAUAAAAGCAAUAUCAGUAACAUUUUGUUCUAGGUCAAGUCCUAGGAAAGCAGAUGCUGAGGCAGAGAUUUGGGAGCAGGAAGUUUACUGGGAACAUCCUGAGAUCUACACCUGCAAGGGCGUGAGCAAAGCAGGGCUGGGCAGAGUAGACCUAGGGCUGUGAC